Apis mellifera (honey bee) is the source of this 1099-nucleotide long non-coding RNA. RefSeq lists it as uncharacterized. Lineage: Eukaryota; Metazoa; Arthropoda; Insecta; Hymenoptera; Apidae. The record is from RefSeq and is a predicted model, not a curated record. The transcript is spliced from 2 exons.
AACAUUAUUUUAAGGGAAAAUUUUCUUUUUUUAAAAAAAUUAUUAGUGUUAUCCAAUAAAAAUUUAUAGAUAUUAGAUCAUACCACAUGAAAAUGCGUUUUUGUCGAUCAAAAUAUGAGCUUUUCUCAACGAGAUUCCAACUGAUGUAUUUCAUUUUUGUAAAACUUCGUAGUUUUAAACGCGAAAAAAUUCUUCGAAUGGUGCGAUUACAGUUUCUUCAGUGUCGAAUAUUUUUUAAAACAAUUGUAAAUGACGAAACAAGUGAUAAUCGGUUGAAAUGAAAUAUCUGGUGAAUAUGAUGCUUUAUGAUAUAUGUCGAAUAUUUUGUAUGUUGUCAUACGAAAGAAUAGGUUAUGAUACUUCUUUGUUUCAAAGAAUUAUUCCCUUUAUAGACUAUCAUACAAUCACUGUAAUUUUUUCAUUCGUAAUGAUGGUUUUAGCAUUUGUUUAGAAUUUUCAUUAUCCAGCUCGUGUAUGAAGUUAUAAUUCUAUUCAAAAAUGGAUUUCUAAUGUUUCGAGUUUUACACUUCCAAACAGCGCAACUUUUAAUCCUCUGUCGGUUGGUGCGGUAUCCACUUUUCCAAUUUUUUCACUUUACCUAUUGCACUCAAUGUCUAAAUCUAACAACUGUCAUCCGAGAUACGUGCUCUGCUUUCGUUUUAGUUUUCAAUUUAUCUUUGUUUAAUAUGGAUUUCGGUCUACCUCGAAGCUCAUUUUCAAGAUUCUCAUCUGCAGAUCUGAAUUUUUGAAACUACAAUCGAAUGAUCCUCUCGAUAAUAGAAUUUUCUCGGAAAGCUAACCUAAUAUUUCGAUGUGUUUGCAUUGUGACCAGCUCAAAUUUGUACAAGAAUGAUAUAAUUCGUUCACUUUUUAAAAAACAGUUAAACUAAUGUAAAAAAAAUUUAUUACGAAGAAAUAUAAAAGAAAUAUAAAAGGACAACAUCAAAAUAUGAUAAGCAAAAUAUAGGAAAUAUUUGAUUAUUCUCACCGCAAAGACGUAAAACAACAGCCACGAAGUAACCAGCCAAACAUCCAUACGUGUCGACCAAAGACGGCCAAUGGACCACGGUUAACAAUUGAGGAAAGAGCACCACGUAAA